This 72-nucleotide transfer RNA is filed under the name Camelus bactrianus (Bactrian camel). It matches the Rfam family "tRNA". From Rfam's summary of the family: Transfer RNA (tRNA) molecules are approximately 80 nucleotides in length. Their secondary structure includes four short double-helical elements and three loops (D, anti-codon, and T loops). RNAcentral also lists the same sequence under 3 other names. The record is from Rfam by way of RNAcentral. Lineage: Eukaryota; Metazoa; Chordata; Mammalia; Artiodactyla; Camelidae.
AGGAGUAUAGCUCAGUGGUUGAAUGGGUGCUUAGCAUGCAUGAGGUCCUGAGUUCAAUCCUCAGUAACCCUA